RNAcentral lists this ribosomal RNA (496 nucleotides) under uncultured bacterium. RNAcentral's name for it is "partial 16S ribosomal RNA". It matches the Rfam family "Bacterial small subunit ribosomal RNA", at positions 28 to 506 of the family's 1533-position model. The record is from RNAcentral.
GAUGAACGCUGGCGGCGUGCCUAAUACAUGCAAGUCGAGCGAACAGACGAGGAGCUUGCUCCUCUGACGUUAGCGGCGGACGGGUGAGUAACACGUGGAUAACCUACCUAUAAGACUGGGAUAACUUCGGGAAACCGGAGCUAAUACCGGAUAAUAUAUUGAACCGCAUGGUUCAAUAGUGAAAGACGGUUUUGCUGUCACUUAUAGAUGGAUCCGCGCCGCAUUAGCUAGUUGGUAAGGUAACGGCUUACCAAGGCAACGAUGCGUAGCCGACCUGAGAGGGUGAUCGGCAAACCUGGAACGAGACAAGGGUCCAACCCCCAACGGGGGGAAGCAGUGGGAAAUCUUCCGAAAGGGGCAAAACCCGAAGGGAGAACCGCGGGGGGGGUGAGGAAGGUCUUGGGAUGGAAAAACUUUUUUAUGGGGGAAAAAAAAAUGUGAAAGUAACUAUCCCCUUUUUGGCGGUACCUAACCAAAAAGCCACGGCUAACUACGU